This 1372-nucleotide ribosomal RNA is filed under the name uncultured bacterium. RNAcentral's name for it is "bacterial SSU rRNA". It matches the Rfam family "Bacterial small subunit ribosomal RNA", at positions 28 to 1381 of the family's 1533-position model. The record is from RNAcentral.
GAUGAACGCUGGCGGCGUGCCUAAUACAUGCAAGUCGAGCGAACAGACGAGGAGCUUGCUCCUCUAACGUUAGCGGCGGACGGGUGAGUAACACGUGGAUAACCUACCUAUAAGACUGGGAUAACUUCGGGAAACCGGAGCUAAUACCGGAUAAUAUAUUGAACCGCAGGGUUCAAUAGUGAAAGACGGUUUUGCUGUCACUUAUAGAUGGAUCCGCGCCGCAUUAGCUAGUUGGUAAGGUAACAGCUUACCAAGGCAACGAUGCGUAGCCGACCUGAGAGGGUGAUCGGCCACACUGGAACUGAGACACGGUCCAGACUCCUACGGGAGGCAGCAGUAGGGAAUCUUCCGCAAUGGGCGAAAGCCUGACGGAGCAACGCCGCGUGAGUGAUGAAGGUCUUCGGAUCGUAAAACUCUGUUAUUAGGGAAGAACAAAUGUGUAAGUAACUAUGCACGUCUUGACGGUACCUAAUCAGAAAGCCACGGCUAACUACGUGCCAGCAGCCGCGGUAAUACGUAGGAGGCAAGCGUUAUCCGGAAUUAUUGGGCGUAAAGCGCGCGUAGGCGGUUUUUUAAGUCUGAUGUGAAAGCCCACGGCUCAACCGUGGAGGGUCAUUGGAAACUGGAAAACUUGAGUGCAGAAGAGGAAAGUGGAAUUCCAUGUGUAGCGGUGAAAUGCGCAGAGAUAUGGAGGAACACCAGUGGCGAAGGCGACUUUCUGGUCUGUAACUGACGCUGAUGUGCGAAAGCGUGGGGAUCAAACAGGAUUAGAUACCCUGGUAGUCCACGCCGUAAACGAUGAGUGCUAAGUGUUAAGGGGUUUCCGCCCCUUAGUGCUGCAGCUAACGCAUUAAGCACUCCGCCUGGGGAGUACGACCGCAAGGUUGAAACUCAAAGGAAUUGACGGGGACCCGCACAAGCGGUGGAGCAUGUGGUUUAAUUCGAAGCAACGCGAAGAACCUUACCAAAUCUUGACAUCCUCUGACCCCUCUAGAGAUAGAGUUUUCCCCUUCGGGGGACAGAGUGACAGGUGGUGCAUGGUUGUCGUCAGCUCGUGUCGUGAGAUGUUGGGUUAAGUCCCGCAACGAGCGCAACCCUUAAGCUUAGUUGCCAUCAUUAAGUUGGGCACUCUAAGUUGACUGCCGGUGACAAACCGGAGGAAGGUGGGGAUGACGUCAAAUCAUCAUGCCCCUUAUGAUUUGGGCUACACACGUGCUACAAUGGACAAUACAAAGGGUAGCGAAACCGCGAGGUCAAGCAAAUCCCAUAAAGUUGUUCUCAGUUCGGAUUGUAGUCUGCAACUCGACUAUAUGAAGCUGGAAUCGCUAGUAAUCGUAGAUCAGCAUGCUACGGUGAAUACGUUCCCGGGUCU